Molecule: ribosomal RNA, 289 nt
Filed under: uncultured prokaryote
Description: partial 16S ribosomal RNA
Rfam family: Bacterial small subunit ribosomal RNA
Source: RNAcentral
UCGAGAAUAAUUCGCAAUGGACGAAAGUCUGACGAUGCGACGCCGCCUGAACGAUGAAGGCCUUCGGGUUGUAACGUUCUGUUGCCCUAGAACAAGAGUGACUGACGAAUAGGUGGUCACGAUGAGGGUAUAGGGAGAGGAAGCACCGGCUAAUUCCGUGCCAGCAGCUGCGGUAAUACGGAAGGUGCAAGCGUUAGUUGGAAUUACUGGGCGUAAAGGGUGCGUAGGCGGGAAUGUAAGUCGGUUGGGAAAUUCCGAAGCUCAACUUCGGAGCUGCAAUCGAAACUAC